This 1275-nucleotide ribosomal RNA is filed under the name Escherichia coli. RNAcentral describes it as "partial 23S ribosomal RNA". It matches the Rfam family "Bacterial large subunit ribosomal RNA", at positions 458 to 1735 of the family's 2925-position model. The record is from RNAcentral. Lineage: Bacteria; Pseudomonadati; Pseudomonadota; Gammaproteobacteria; Enterobacterales; Enterobacteriaceae.
CUCCAAGGCUAAAUACUCCUGACUGACCGAUAGUGAACCAGUACCGUGAGGGAAAGGCGAAAAGAACCCCGGCGAGGGGAGUGAAAAAGAACCUGAAACCGUGUACGUACAAGCAGUGGGAGCACGCUUAGGCGUGUGACUGCGUACCUUUUGUAUAAUGGGUCAGCGACUUAUAUUCUGUAGCAAGGUUAACCGAAUAGGGGAGCCGAAGGGAAACCGAGUCUUAACUGGGCGUUAAGUUGCAGGGUAUAGACCCGAAACCCGGUGAUCUAGCCAUGGGCAGGUUGAAGGUUGGGUAACACUAACUGGAGGACCGAACCGACUAAUGUUGAAAAAUUAGCGGAUGACUUGUGGCUGGGGGUGAAAGGCCAAUCAAACCGGGAGAUAGCUGGUUCUCCCCGAAAGCUAUUUAGGUAGCGCCUCGUGAAUUCAUCUCCGGGGGUAGAGCACUGUUUCGGCAAGGGGGUCAUCCCGACUUACCAACCCGAUGCAAACUGCGAAUACCGGAGAAUGUUAUCACGGGAGACACACGGCGGGUGCUAACGUCCGUCGUGAAGAGGGAAACAACCCAGACCGCCAGCUAAGGUCCCAAAGUCAUGGUUAAGUGGGAAACGAUGUGGGAAGGCCCAGACAGCCAGGAUGUUGGCUUAGAAGCAGCCAUCAUUUAAAGAAAGCGUAAUAGCUCACUGGUCGAGUCGGCCUGCGCGGAAGAUGUAACGGGGCUAAACCAUGCACCGAAGCUGCGGCAGCGACGCUUAUGCGUUGUUGGGUAGGGGAGCGUUCUGUAAGCCUGCGAAGGUGUGCUGUGAGGCAUGCUGGAGGUAUCAGAAGUGCGAAUGCUGACAUAAGUAACGAUAAAGCGGGUGAAAAGCCCGCUCGCCGGAAGACCAAGGGUUCCUGUCCAACGUUAAUCGGGGCAGGGUGAGUCGACCCCUAAGGCGAGGCCGAAAGGCGUAGUCGAUGGGAAACAGGUUAAUAUUCCUGUACUUGGUGUUACUGCGAAGGGGGGACGGAGAAGGCUAUGUUGGCCGGGCGACGGUUGUCCCGGUUUAAGCGUGUAGGCUGGUUUUCCAGGCAAAUCCGGAAAAUCAAGGCUGAGGCGUGAUGACGAGGCACUACGGUGCUGAAGCAACAAAUGCCCUGCUUCCAGGAAAAGCCUCUAAGCAUCAGGUAACAUCAAAUCGUACCCCAAACCGACACAGGUGGUCAGGUAGAGAAUACCAAGGCGCUUGAGAGAACUCGGGUGAAGGAACUAGGCAAAAUGGUGCCGUAACU